AUAAGAUACUAAGGUGCUUAAGA
This 23-nucleotide non-coding RNA is filed under the name Rattus norvegicus (Norway rat). The record is from RNAcentral. Lineage: Eukaryota; Metazoa; Chordata; Mammalia; Rodentia; Muridae.